This 2321-nucleotide unclassified non-coding RNA is filed under the name Hevea brasiliensis (rubber tree). Lineage: Eukaryota; Viridiplantae; Streptophyta; Magnoliopsida; Malpighiales; Euphorbiaceae. The record is from RNAcentral.
AUAAUAAGGUUAUAGAAAGGAAAUUAAAUUUAAAGAAAAAUUAAUUAAAAUCUAUUCUAUUAGGGUUUAGGGAUAAAUAGAAGAGAAGAGGAGAGAAGAAGGCUAAAAGAAUAAAGUUACUUUGAAAGAGGCGCCCCUCGCCUCCUGGGACUGGGGUGCGCCUUGCCUCUCCUCGUCCGGUUCCUUUAAUAACACUGUUCCCUAUGGUUGUUAGAAAUGCUAUUGUGCGAGUCCCAUUAAGGAAACAUGUUUUGAAUCUUACGCUUUCUUGUAUUUCCACUUUAUUGGUUGGCUUUGGGUCCCUACAUAAGAAUCAUUUUUUCCCCUCCUAGUGCAAAACUGCAAAUCUCCUUCUGAUUUCCCUCUCCUUCCCACCUCUUUCCGUAACUUCUUUAUCCCAAUUUUCUCCCUCUUAUCCUUUUCAUCUUUUUAAUUCUGUUACACAAUUGAUUCCCUGAAUUAUGAGACUUAUAUCUGACAUUGGUUUGGCAUCUGUAGGAGUCUUGACAGAAUUGCUGUAGGAUUAGAUAUGUGUUGAGCCUGUAGCAUGCGGUGAGUCUAACUGAGAAAAUCAUGCUCAAAAGCACAUAGGUGCAGUCUGUGAAGGAUUGAAAUAGUCAGACUAAUUGGUGGCUCAUUUACGACAAAUAUGAUUUCCAAUCCUCAGUUCCUCACUAAGAAAGUAUCAUCUUCGUAUUCAGUUUUCCUACAUCACUCGAGUUCUAUAUUGUCAUUCAUGUCAUAAUGCUUUUCAACACCAGUAUAUUGAUUUUAUAAUUAGAUAUUAACAACUUAUGGUUGGAGUUUUUCGUAGGGGUUUGGAUGUGGUGAUUGCACAAAAUUGUACUCAUAUAUUGUGGGAUUCUAUAUUUUAUAUGUGCCUCUUAGAGUCUUAGUGCUAGGUGGAAGGCUAGCAUGUGCUUGUAACAUUUUAUACCGAUCAGAUCUUUAUGGUUGUGUGACUUCAGCUUAGGGUUCGGUAUAGAAUUUAUAGUAUUCUUGACAGAGCUGCAUUAAGAUAUUGAUCAGAUUAGAUCUACAGAGUUAAAUAUCCUGCUGUGAACCAAGCAAGGAAAUUUUCCCUAGAGCUUGGAGGGCCAACUUGCACCAGAUUGAAAAAGUCAUACUACCAAGUGGUUGAAUUGUUAUCCAUUCUCAGCAUUAGUUUCAAUUCUUUCUUUUGUCAAGUCUACAUGAUUGAUUUCACGUACUCAUUUGGUUACAAUUCUUGAAUGACAAGUUUAUUGUUUUCAUUGUGGCAUUGGUGAUGUGUUGUUUUUUUGUAAAAUAUGCUCAGCACUAACGUCAUGAGUAUUUUAAAAUUUUGUGCCGUUGAUGUCUAAAACAUAUUAUUUAUUUCAGAUCUUCUGUUUAUGGUGACCCUGUUUUUGUUUAUCUGCUAGGCUAGGCUGCUACUAUCUGUAAUUUGAAUGGAUGUGCUUAUUUUUUGGCGAUUAUUUUCUAGGUUGUAGUGGUUGAUCCUGAAGCAUACACGUACGAUGAUGAAGUGAUCAAGAAAGCAAUAGCUAUGGGGAAGCCUGGGCUUGUGGAUAUCCAUGCUAAGGAAGACAGUUUUAUAUUCACAGUUGAAUCAACUGGUGCAAUUAAAGCUUCUCAGUUGGUGCUCAAUGCCAUAGAAGUCCUAAAACAAAAGCUGGAUGCUGUUCGCUUGUCAGAGGAUACAGUGGAAGCUGAUGAUCAAUUUGGUGAGCUUGGUGCUCAUAUGCGUGGAGGAUGAUCUAGUUUGCAAACAGAGUUAUCGGUUGUUAGUUUGUCUUUCUUGGCCUCUAAGAUAGUGAUAACCAUCCUUUUAUUUUGUCAAACAUAAUGUAUCCUGUGCUAAUUGCAUCUCUUUCAUGCUAAGUACAUAUGUGCUCUCUUAGAUAUUAACUUCUACAUAGCGUAUGGGCACCUUACUAUUUAUUUUUGUAUACAAGAGAGUGCCAUGAUUAUGAUCCAUAAUCUUGGUGCUCAAACUUAGGAUUUCUACUCGCUUUCCCAACAUUGUGAGCUAAGCCUAGAUUGCAUCUAUUUUGCCUCCUUCAUAUUAUGUGUGCUAUGCAAGUUGUUGGAUGGCAUUCCUAAUGCGUUUUGGAGAUCGCAAGAAAGCUGUAUUUUUAUGACCAAGUUUAGAAGACAUACUGACAUGCUAGUUGCUACCUUCUAGCACCUAUAAUUGAUUUAUAUGGCAUAUUUUGUUUAAAACAUGAACAUAUGUGGGGAAAUAACCUCUUGAACUUUCUUAUAGGCCUCUUUUUCUUGCAUGCUCUUUGUGAUUUCUUCUUUGUACAGUUUUCUAAUAUGGCACUAUUAUUCUGCUG